CCUAUCUUCUAUUCUCCUGCCCUGAGGCCCUCUGGGCAAGUUCUCUGCACAGGGCCGGUUGACGAGGGCUAAACAUUGACCCUGGUCUUCUCCUCUCCCCUCUAGGUGGUGCUGCCCCAUCAGCCCCUGGCGACCUACACCACAGUGGGUAAGAGUGCCCCGUAGCCCUGGUGGCCCCCAGGCCUCUCAUCUGGGUGGCAUCUGAAGUUCUGUAAUUUCCUUCUUCCCACAGGUCCUUCCUGCCUGGACAUGGAAGGUUCUGUGUCUGCAGUGACAGAGGAGGCUGCCCUGUGUGCCGGCUGGCUCUCCCAGCCCACCCCGGCCACCCUGCAGCCCCUGGCCCCAUGGACACCUUACACCGAGUAUGUGCCCCAUGAAGCUGUCAGCUGCCCCUACUCAGCUGACAUGUAUGUGCAGCCCGUGUGCCCCAGCUACACGGUGGUGGGGCCCUCCUCAGUGUUGACCUAUGCCUCUCCGCCACUCAUCACCAAUGUCACGGGUCCAGUGUCAUCCUGAUGCACCUGCCCCUGCCUCCAAGCACCUUCUAUGAAAGGCCUGCAGAAGCCCUUCCCUCCCAGGUCCACCUGCCUACCCAGCAAACCAAUUUUGGAGCCUGGAUGAUGAUAGAUAAGAAGGAGUUAAUCCAACACCUCUCCCAGGCAACUCAUUUCCAUGUCAGAGGCCUGGGGUGAGGGUGGUGGGUGGAGGACUCACGGCUCCCACCCAUUUCAUUACCAAGGAUUCCUUUCAUUAUUUAUCCCCUUUCAUCAUUCCCACCUUCUGCUUUGAAAGGUUCUGUAUAUCAAACAAACAGUAUUCAUUAAGAAUUGAUUUAUUUGUUUUGCCAUUUUGUAAAUUAAGUCAUCAAAGCUGGCUAGAGCUGUAAGUCCACACUCCUGAUCAGCAGAGAUAAGACCUGCUGUGUGCUGAGUGGAAGUAAUUGUAUUCCCGAGCAAAGAAACCUAUAGUUACAGGUUUAUGACUGGGAAAUGUAGAAUUUCCAUCUGGAUUUUUGAAAAGCUGGGAAUCAUGAGGCUUUCCCGGAUUCUGUCUGGUUUCAGGACACUGGGAUGGGGACCACUGGCUUAAGUCAAAGGAGAGGAAGUGAUUAUGCUGUGGUGGGGUGUACACCUCAGCCCGGAUUUCAGGAGGCUGGAAGGCCUCUGAGACCAUUUCCAGCUCUAUCAUUCUGUGCAAAAACACCCUAAAGCCUUGCUACUCAAACUCUUGUCCCUGGACUGGCCACAUUGGAGUCCCCCUGAGAUCUGAUUAGACAUGCAAAAUCCCAGGCCCCACUCUAGACUUCCUGUGCCAGAAGCUGCGUUCUAACAAGAUCCCCAGGAGGUUGAGAAAAGCCCUGCCCUAAAUGAUUCUAACAGUUUGCUGUCAAGACACAGUGACAGUAGGAGGGAUAUAUGACAGGGGAGACAGGGAUGGUAGGGGGAGAUUUUGGCCUCCCUCUCAUGAAUCCAUGCAGAGAGCAUCCUCUUCUAUCUGCUUUCCUCAAGUGUGAAAGAAAAGUAAGAAUCCAGGUCCCGCCCCUGUUGCAGGCCUGAUCUGAGGUUUGUGAGGGCAGUCGCCGUGCAGGUGAGAGGUAUGACUCGCAGAGCAUUCAGGAGAAGGACUCUAACACUUGGAGGGUCAUGGGGGGUGCCCAUAAGUGGGAUGGCCAUGGAGAUCAGCUCAGAGACAGAGGACGAUGAGGAUGUGGAAGGCACCAGGCAGCAGCAGGAAGGAAGGCCAAGUUUGCUGACAAAGCAGUGCUUCCCCCAUCUGGGGAUGGCCAGGCCUCCCCAUGCUGGCCACCACUAGAGGGGUGGGAGGUGAUGGAGCUGUGUUGGCCCAAGGGGACCUCCAAAGCUGUUGUGUGGAGCCCGGACUGUCUUUGUGUCUGGGCAGGACAGUGGCCACCUUCCAGAUACAGCUUCCAGGCUGUGGUUUAACAUAUAUUUUCACAGAUUUUAAGAUGCAUAUAUUUUUAAUGUUUUAAGAUCUCUGAAAUAGAAAUGAAUUUUGUAUUCAACGAAACCUGGAAAAUCCUCUCUAAUUGGCCUAACCCAAUGAGUUCAUUACUGUUUGUAUUCUAUUUCGUAGAUGAGAAAAAUGAGCCUUCUGAGCAGGAAGUGGCCUGAGCAAAGACAUAUAGCUAGGAAGGGUCAGGAUUGGGGCUGCGGUUGAAGUCAGCCUGGCUCCUCCCUUGGGGAAGACUUUGAGCAGGAGGAGGUGGAGCCCCAUGAAGUGAGAAACCAGGAAAGGGCAGAAUUGAAGGGGGAGAUGGAGACCCCUCUAAGGGCAAGGAUGGGUGGAUGGGUCUCCUGGGGCUGCUAACCCUCUGUCACGUGUUUUCCUGUCACAGACAAGAAGCUCCGCCACGCCCGCAGUGGGGCCCCCGCUGGAGGGCCCAGAGCACCAGGCACCCCUCACCUAUUUCCCGUGGCCUCAGCCCCUUUCCACACUACCCACCUCCACCCUGCAGUACCAGCCUCCGGCCCCAGCCCUACCUGGGCCCCAGUUUGUCCAGCUCCCCAUCUCUAUCCCAGAGCCAGUCCUUCAGGACAUGGAAGACCCCAGAAGAGCCGCCAGCUCGUUGACCAUCGACAAGCUGCUUUUGGAGGAAGAGGAUAGCGACGCCUAUGCGCUUAACCACACUCUCUCUGUGGAAGGCUUUUAGGCGUGGCUCCCACCUGAGUCCUGUUCCCUGAAACUGGGAUUUUAAAAUGAGCCUGGAAUUGAGCCCCAGGUUCAUGCUUGUUUGGAGUAGUCAUUUCAUGACUACACUUUCUACGCACAGCUAGAAUUGUAGACCUGUAAACCUUCCUUCCCUUCUUCCUUCCCCUCCCUCCCUCACUUCCUCCCUCUCCCCCAUCCUUCCAUUCUUCCCCUCCCUCCCUUCUUCCUUUCCAACCCCUUCCUUCCUUUUCCUCCCUCCCUUCCUUCCCUCCUUCCCUUCUCCCUUUCCAACCCCUUCCUUCCUUUUCCUCCCUCCCUUCCUUCCCUCCUUCCCUUCUCCCUUUCCUUCUUUACCUCCCUCCCUCCCUCGCUUCUUCUCUCUUUCUUACUUCUUUUUUCAAUUCUGUUCCAUUUUGGGAGGUAAUUAUAGGGAUUUUAGCAAUAACAUUUUAUGUCAAAUGUUGCCAAGUCUGUGGUCCAUGGGCUUUCAUUUCUGUCACAUUUCAUUUCUUGGAAAAGGCCUCCUUCCUCCAGUGCCUGCUGAACCAUCUUAGGGUCACUCACACCCUCUGUAAUUUUAAGAUGUAUGUGGUGGCCGGCGGGAAGACCAGCCCCGACAGCACCUCCUGAGAAAGUCAGCCAAGGGCCUACCCUGAUGCCAGAGUCCUUGAGCUGUCAGUUCCCACAGUUGCUCCUUUGUUUGCUCUUCUCAGCCUCGGCCAGAUUUACAGUCCAGGCAGCAAAAUCUCAAGGCCUGGGGCUCAGAGUAGUAAGGGGUGGGAAGUGGGUGGCAGGGAGAAAAGAACAUCAGGGUGGGUGGGGACAGGCCAGUGACGAAGAGAGGGACAGAGGAGGGAUGGGAACAGGCUGUGCAUCUUAGUUGGAGAGAGGGGUGUGGGAGGAAGCUUGAGUUUGAUGCAGGGAGGAGGAAGGCUGAGGAAUGACUUGGCUCCAGAUUACUUGGUUAUUAAGAAGAACAAUAAACUAAAGGAAAGCAUUGCUUGAAGAGAUGGUUUUGCUGCUCUCCUUGAGGAUACGUGCAAGGGAAGUUGGGCUGUUGUAAACAGGGUGAAGGGUGUGUUUGGUCGGCCAUUUCUGUCUCACCUCUAGGCCCUCUGCUGGUGCUGUGGAGGCCAAGACCCCAUUAAGCCUAAAGGUGAUGGGUCCUCGCCUAGGCUUAGUGCUACCAUGUGGGUUUUGUUUCUUUCCUUCCUUCCUUCCUUCCUUCCUUCCUUCCUUCCUUCCUUCCUUCCUUCCUUCCUUCCUUCUUUCCUUCCUUCCUUCCUUCCUUCCUUCCUCUCUCUUUCUUUCUUUUUUUUGGUUUUUUUUGGGACGGAGUCUCACUCCAUUGCCCAGGCUGGAGUACAAUGGUGCGAUCUUGGCUCACUGCACCUCUGUCUCCCAAGUUCAAGUGAUUCUCCUGCCUGAGCCUCCCGAGUAGCUGGGAUUACAGGUGCAUGCCACCAUGCCUGGCUAAUUUUUGUAUUUUUAGUAGAGACGGGGUUUCACCAUGUUGGCCAGGCUGGUCUCGAACUCCUGACCUUGUGAUCCGCCCGCCUCAGCCUCUCAGAGUGCUGGGAUCACAGGCGUGAGCCACCGCACCCAGCCUUUUACCAUGUGGGUUUCUUUAGUGUCUUAAAAGCGUCCAUAAGCCACCAUUCUGUGGAACCAAGGCCCCCUCCACGCAAACACCCUCCCUCCUGGGGACCUCUGGAGCCUCAGCCAGAAGUACCAUUAGGUUUAAUUUUAAUUUGUUUUGCUGGAGAAACAUCAGGUUUGUAGGAGACUGAGUUGUUAGCAGGUGUGCUUAGCUCUUGAUAGUGAACGUGUACCUUGGGAACUGGCUCACCCACCUGCUAAUAGCACCAUCGUCACUAUUAAGCAGACAUUUCAGUUGGUAGAAUCCAUGUAGAAGUCAUGGACUUUUCUGGGAAAUGACUUUUCUGGGAAAUGACAGUUUCUUUGACAUAUUUUCUUUGCCCACUUUAAAUAAAAACUCUGGAG
Molecule: long non-coding RNA, 4674 nt
Filed under: Homo sapiens (human)
Lineage: Eukaryota; Metazoa; Chordata; Mammalia; Primates; Hominidae
Description: HSALNT0181031
Source: RNAcentral